Molecule: long non-coding RNA, 496 nt
Organism: Syngnathus acus (greater pipefish)
Lineage: Eukaryota; Metazoa; Chordata; Actinopteri; Syngnathiformes; Syngnathidae
Exons: 4
Source: RefSeq, a predicted model, not a curated record
AAAGACCCUUGGCAAGAACGCGUUUGGUUUUAUUGCGAAUUGAGCUUUCUCUCUUACCGUAGGCACGCCAGUUCAAUGUAAAGCAAGUUCUACCGGUGACUACUAACUUUUUUGACUGAUGUCCAAACUACAAGAGUUGAGGCUCCACGUCGUCUAUCUGAACAUCUAGACGCCAACAUAUUUUCGAAAGCGUAAACAUUCAAUCGCAAAACAGAAGUCGGAUGGUAGUCUGCUCGGUGCCAAGUGGUUGGCCGGUGGGCCGAGUGGUGGGCCGGUGGGACGAGUGGUGAGGAGUCUGUGCUCUGGUCCUCAGCCGCCGCUGCAAGUAGCAGAGGGCUCUUCAGACAGCAAGGAGGUACGCCUGCCAAAAAGAGGUCGACUUGAGGCUUUUGGCAGGUAGCAGACCAGGAAUGCAACAACCACAGGGAGCCUGCAAAUCCAAGUCCAGAAAGUGAAUAACCUGCUACAGUUUGGCUUGAGUCUCAGGUGACCGGCA